UCGUGGGCGCGUUCUCUCUUCCAUUCGAUCCUCCUUUUGUUAGCGCUCCGGCUUCUUCCAGGUCUCACCUGCUCCAGUGCGAUCCGGCGCCAUCGCGCUUUGGGCGAGCAUGGCCAUCGGGAGUAGCGAGGUGGGGACCGAGCUGACGCCUGCCUGGCCCUGGCGAUGGUGGCGCGCGCCGGGGAAGGACUGAUUGGAGCAUGGCGCCAAAUGGGUCACGGAUGGCGAGGGGGCGCAGGAGCUCUCGGUGUGACCUGGCGCUGUGGAUGUGAUACACAGUAGCCUGAGUGACGCUGCUCUGCUGUCCUAAGGAGAGAACCCUUUUUCUGAAGAUGGGAGGUGGCUAGUGAAGGAGGAAUUGUGUUCUCGGUGAUGUCUGGAAGAGAUGUGUGAUGUUGGAAGAUGAUUAUGAAAUAUCGGAAAGGAGUGAAAUCAAAGGAUAUUUUUUGUAAGAGUAACGUUUACAGAUGUUUUCAGUAAUUUGAAGAUUUAUAUAAGGCCUGGUGACCUCUGUUAAUUCCUGGGACGCACAGUGUGGAAGAAAAGACCCGACUCCUGAAAGUUGUCUUCUGACCACAUAUAUACAAUAUGUAAAUAAAUGUAAUUUUUUUAAAAAAACUG
This 621-nucleotide long non-coding RNA is filed under the name Mus pahari (shrew mouse). RNAcentral's name for it is "lncRNA (MGP_PahariEiJ_G0004551.1)". The record is from RNAcentral. Lineage: Eukaryota; Metazoa; Chordata; Mammalia; Rodentia; Muridae.